RNAcentral lists this transfer RNA (67 nucleotides) under Marmota monax (woodchuck). RNAcentral describes it as "tRNA.Ala". The stretch from base 6 to 63 matches the Rfam family "tRNA", at positions 7 to 64 of the family's 71-position model. Rfam says of the family: Transfer RNA (tRNA) molecules are approximately 80 nucleotides in length. Lineage: Eukaryota; Metazoa; Chordata; Mammalia; Rodentia; Sciuridae. The record is from RNAcentral.
GGAUGGUAGCUCAGUGGUAGAGCGCUCCCCUAGCACGGGUGGGACCUGGGUUCGAUCCGCAGCACCA